This 71-nucleotide transfer RNA is filed under the name Marmota monax (woodchuck). Its description in RNAcentral is "tRNA.Ala". Lineage: Eukaryota; Metazoa; Chordata; Mammalia; Rodentia; Sciuridae. The record is from RNAcentral.
GGGGUUGAAGCUCAGUGGUACAGUGCUUGCCUAGCGUGUAUGAGGCACUGGGUUUGAUUCUCAGCACUGCA